This 27-nucleotide non-coding RNA is filed under the name Homo sapiens (human). Lineage: Eukaryota; Metazoa; Chordata; Mammalia; Primates; Hominidae. The record is from RNAcentral.
AGAUGACAAGGACCUGCAUUAAGCUGU